UUAGCUCAGUUGGUAGAGCAGUUGACUUUUAAUCAAUUGGUCGCAGGUUCGAAAAAAGCA
Molecule: transfer RNA, 60 nt
Filed under: Salmonella enterica subsp. enterica serovar Enteritidis
Lineage: Bacteria; Pseudomonadati; Pseudomonadota; Gammaproteobacteria; Enterobacterales; Enterobacteriaceae
Description: tRNA-Lys
Rfam family: tRNA (bases 1-52)
About the family: Transfer RNA (tRNA) molecules are approximately 80 nucleotides in length.
Source: RNAcentral